GACGAACGCUGGCGGCGCGCUUAACACAUGCAAGUCGAGCGAGAACCGGAGCUUCGGCUCCGGGGACAGCGGCGAACGGGUGAGUAACACGUGGGUAAUCUGCCCUCGGUUCCGGGAUAGCCCGGGGAAACUCGGAUUAAUACCGGAUAGCCUCUCUGGCCUUCGGGCCGGCGAGAAAAGGUAGCUUCGGCCUCCGACUGAGGAUGAGCCCGCGGCGGAUUAGCUUGUUGGCGGGGUAACGGCCCACCAAGGCGACGAUCCGUAGCUGGU
This 270-nucleotide ribosomal RNA is filed under the name uncultured bacterium. RNAcentral describes it as "partial 16S ribosomal RNA". It matches the Rfam family "Bacterial small subunit ribosomal RNA", at positions 28 to 291 of the family's 1533-position model. The record is from RNAcentral.